This 355-nucleotide ribosomal RNA is filed under the name uncultured bacterium. Its description in RNAcentral is "bacterial SSU rRNA". It matches the Rfam family "Bacterial small subunit ribosomal RNA", at positions 373 to 725 of the family's 1533-position model. The record is from RNAcentral.
GGAGGCAACUCUGACCCAGCCAUGCCGCGUGCAGGAAGACUGCCCUAUGGGUUGUAAACUGCUUUUAUACAGGAAGAAACCCUCCCACGUGUGGGAGGCUGACGGUACUCUACGAAUAAGGACCGGCUAACUCCGUGCCAGCAGCCGCGGUAAUACGGAGGGUCCAAGCGUUAUCCGGAAUCAUUGGGUUUAAAGGGUCCGUAGGCGGGCAAUUAAGUCAGAGGUGAAAUCCCGCAGCUCAACUGUGGAACUGCCUUUGAUACUGGUUGUCUUGAGUUAUAUUGAAGUGAGUAGAAUAUGUAGUGUAGCGGUGAAAUGCUUAGAUAUUACAUAGAAUACCGAUUGCGAAGGCAGA